UUUGGUUAAGUUAGAAAGGGCGCACGGUGGAUGCCUUGACACUAGGAGUCGAUGAAGGACGGGACUAACGCCGAUAUGCUUCGGGGAGCUGUAAGUAAGCUUUGAUCCGAAGAUUUCCGAAUGGGGAAACCCACCAUACGUAAUGGUAUGGUAUCCUUAUCUGAAUACAUAGGAUAAGGAAGACAGACCCAGGGAACUGAAACAUCUAAGUACCUGGAGGAAGAGAAAGCAAAUGCGAUUUCCUGAGUAGCGGCGAGCGAAACGGAACAUAGCCCAAACCAAGAGGCUUGCCUCUUGGGGUUGUAGGACAUUCUAUACGGAGUUACAAAGGAACGAGGUAGACGAAGCGACCUGGAAAGGUCCGUCGUAGAGGGUAACAACCCCGUAGUCGAAACUUCGUUCUCUCUUGAAUGUAUCCUGAGUACGGCGGAACACGUGAAAUUCCGUCGGAAUCUGGGAGGACCAUCUCCCAAGGCUAAAUACUCCCUAGUGAUCGAUAGUGAACCAGUACCGUGAGGGAAAGGUGAAAAGCACCCCGGAAGGGGAGUGAAAGAGAUCCUGAAACCGUGUGCCUACAAAUAGUCAGAGCCCGUUAACGGGUGAUGGCGUGCCUUUUGUAGAAUGAACCGGCGAGUUACGAUCCCGUGCGAGGUUAAGCUGAAGAGGCGGAGCCGCAGCGAAAGCGAGUCUGAAUAGGGCGUUUAGUAUGUGGUCGUAGACCCGAAACCAGGUGAUCUACCCAUGUCCAGGGUGAAGUUCAGGUAACACUGAAUGGAGGCCCGAACCCACGCACGUUGAAAAGUGCGGGGAUGAGGUGUGGGUAGCGGAGAAAUUCCAAUCGAACCUGGAGAUAGCUGGUUCUCCCCGAAAUAGCUUUAGGGCUAGCCUUAAGUGUAAGAGUCUUGGAGGUAGAGCACUGAUUGGACUAGGGGUCCUCAUCGGAUUACCGAAUUCAGUCAAACUCCGAAUGCCAAUGACUUAUCCUUAGGAGUCAGACUGCGAGUGAUAAGAUCCGUAGUCAAAAGGGAAACAGCCCAGACCGCCAGCUAAGGUCCCAAAGUGUGUAUUAAGUGGAAAAGGAUGUGGAGUUGCUUAGACAACUAGGAUGUUGGCUUAGAAGCAGCCACCAUUUAAAGAGUGCGUAAUAGCUCACUAGUCGAGUGACUCUGCGCCGAAAAUGUACCGGGGCUAAAUACACCACCGAAGCUGCGGAUUGAUACCAAUGGUAUCAGUGGUAGGGGAGCGUUCUAAGGACAGUGAAGUCAGACCGGAAGGACUGGUGGAGUGCUUAGAAGUGAGAAUGCCGGUAUGAGUAGCGAAAGACGGGUGAGAAUCCCGUCCACCGAAUGCCUAAGGUUUCCUGAGGAAGGCUCGUCCGCUCAGGGUUAGUCAGGACCUAAGCCGAGGCCGACAGGCGUAGGCGAUGGACAACAGGUUGAUAUUCCUGUACCACCUCUUUAUCGUUUGAGCAAUGGAGGGACGCAGAAGGAUAGAAGAAGCGUGCGAUUGGUUGUGCACGUCCAAGCAGUUAGGCUGAUAAGUAGGCAAAUCCGCUUAUCGUAAAGGCUGAGCUGUGAUGGGGAAGCUCCUUAUGGAGCGAAGUCUUUGAUUCCCCGCUGCCAAGAAAAGCUUCUAGCGAGAUAAAAGGUGCCUGUACCGCAAACCGACACAGGUAGGCGAGGAGAGAAUCCUAAGGUGUGCGAGAGAACUCUGGUUAAGGAACUCGGCAAAAUGACCCCGUAACUUCGGGAGAAGGGGUGCUUUCUUAACGGAAAGCCGCAGUGAAUAGGCCCAAGCGACUGUUUAGCAAAAACACAGCUCUCUGCGAAGCCGUAAGGCGAAGUAUAGGGGGUGACACCUGCCCGGUGCUGGAAGGUUAAGGAGAGGGGUUAGCGUAAGCGAAGCUCUGAACUGAAGCCCCAGUAAACGGCGGCCGUAACUAUAACGGUCCUAAGGUAGCGAAAUUCCUUGUCGGGUAAGUUCCGACCCGCACGAAAGGUGUAACGAUUUGGGCACUGUCUCAACCAGAGACUCGGUGAAAUUAUAGUACCUGUGAAGAUGCAGGUUACCCGCGACAGGACGGAAAGACCCCGUGGAGCUUUACUGUAGCCUGAUAUUGAAUUUUGGUACAGUUUGUACAGGAUAGGCGGGAGCCAUUGAAACCGGAGCGCUAGCUUCGGUGGAGGCGCUGGUGGGAUACCGCCCUGACUGUAUUGAAAUUCUAACCUACGGGUCUUAUCGACCCGGGAGACAGUGUCAGGUGGGCAGUUUGACUGGGGCGGUCGCCUCCUAAAGUGUAACGGAGGCGCCCAAAGGUUCCCUCAGAAUGGUUGGAAAUCAUUCGUAGAGUGCAAAGGCAUAAGGGAGCUUGACUGCGAGACCUACAAGUCGAGCAGGGACGAAAGUCGGGCUUAGUGAUCCGGUGGUUCCGCAUGGAAGGGCCAUCGCUCAACGGAUAAAAGCUACCCCGGGGAUAACAGGCUUAUCUCCCCCAAGAGUCCACAUCGACGGGGAGGUUUGGCACCUCGAUGUCGGCUCAUCGCAUCCUGGGGCUGUAGUCGGUCCCAAGGGUUGGGCUGUUCGCCCAUUAAAGCGGUACGCGAGCUGGGUUCAGAACGUCGUGAGACAGUUCGGUCCCUAUCCGUCGUGGGCGUAGGAAAUUUGAGAGGAGCUGUCCUUAGUACGAGAGGACCGGGAUGGACGCACCGCUGGUGUACCAGUUGUUCUGCCAAGGGCAUAGCUGGGUAGCUAUGUGCGGAAGGGAUAAGUGCUGAAAGCAUCUAAGCAUGAAGCCCCCCUCAAGAUGAGAUUUCCCAUAGCGUAAGCUAGUAAGAUCCCUGAAAGAUGAUCAGGUUGAUAGGUUCGAGGUGGAAGCAUGGUGACAUGUGGAGCUGACGAAUACUAAUAGAUCGAGGACUUAACCAUAUAA
This 2929-nucleotide ribosomal RNA is filed under the name Bacillus cereus. Its description in RNAcentral is "bacterial LSU rRNA". It matches the Rfam family "Bacterial large subunit ribosomal RNA". The record is from RNAcentral. Lineage: Bacteria; Bacillati; Bacillota; Bacilli; Caryophanales; Bacillaceae.